Molecule: transfer RNA, 77 nt
Filed under: Segatella copri
Lineage: Bacteria; Pseudomonadati; Bacteroidota; Bacteroidia; Bacteroidales; Prevotellaceae
Description: tRNA-Cys
Source: RNAcentral
GCAGGGUAUGGUGUAAGUGGUAUUCUUGCACACCUCGCACGUGUGAGAUAGUGGCGGUUCGACUCCGCCUCCCUGCA